UACGGGGGGGGCAAGCGUUGUUCGGAAUUACUGGGCGUAAAGGGCUCGUAGGCGGCCAACUAAGUCAGACGUGAAAUCCCUCGGCUUAACCGGGGAACUGCGUCUGAUACUGGAUGGCUUGAGUUUGGGAGAGGGAUGCGGAAUUCCAGGUGUAGCGGUGAAAUGCGUAGAUGUCUGGAGGAACACCGGUGGCGAAGGCGGCAUCCUGGACCGGCAUUGACGCUGAGGAGCGAAAGCCAGGGGAGCAAACGGG
This 253-nucleotide ribosomal RNA is filed under the name uncultured bacterium. RNAcentral describes it as "partial 16S ribosomal RNA". It matches the Rfam family "Bacterial small subunit ribosomal RNA", at positions 524 to 776 of the family's 1533-position model. The record is from RNAcentral.